This 1014-nucleotide long non-coding RNA is filed under the name Phoenix dactylifera (date palm). RNAcentral's name for it is "long non-coding RNA (PDAC_LNC009219)". Lineage: Eukaryota; Viridiplantae; Streptophyta; Magnoliopsida; Arecales; Arecaceae. The record is from RNAcentral.
CAAGCUUCCUUGAGCCGACCCCAGAAAUACUUGAGUCGACCCCAAUAGAGCCGACCCCAAGUGAACAUGAGCCGACCCCAAGGAUACAUUGCUCAAAAACCAUGUCUCUGGAAUCCCUGAGAGGGUCGACCCCAAUGGAACUUGAGUCGACCCCACUGUAGCUUGAGUUGAUCCUAAGAAAAGUUGAGUCGACCCAGUGAAAGAAGCUGAAAAUGCAAGUUUCUGUGGUUCCUGAGAGGGUUGACCCCAGAGGAAGUUGAGUCAACCCCAAGCCCAAUAUACAGUAAGUUGAGUCGACCCCAGUAAAGUUUGGAUCGACCCCAGCACGGGCAAGGGCAUAACGGCUAGUUCUGCAGAAGUACCUUUUGACCUCCCAAUAGCUAGUAACGGCUAGUUUUUGAAAUCUAACCAAUGGGGGGUGACCAAUAGAUGAGGAAAAGUAUUUAAAGUGACACUAUUCAUCAGAGGAACAUACACUUUUGCAAAAAGAUCGAAGCUCAUUCAAGAAAGAAAAAGCCCUAGCAUUCUUCAUUCAAGUGCUUCAUUCAAAGAGCCAAAAGAAAGUGGUUGAGCAGAUUCUGAGAGACACUAAGAGCUCCACCAACCCUUGAAGAGUGAAGCAAUCUUGACAAAGAAGAAAAAAGUCUUAUCAAAGCGAUAACUAUAUUCUAAACUCUUCUUUGUAGUUCAUAAUUAUUAUAUUUGCUCAUCUAGGAGUUUCAACUUUCUUCUUCUUAAUCACCUUGUAAGAUUUGUUGGUGAGCCCGUAAAACCAAUGGUGUAGAUUUGUUGGUGAACCCAUAAAACCAACGGUGAAGGUUUGUUGGUGAGCCCGUAAAACCAACAUAGGUUUUUGGUGAUCCCGGAAAACCAAAGUAUAAAGGUUUUUAGAUUGUGAGCCCGGAAAACAAUCCAACUGUAUUCCGUGGGAUUAUAGUGAAUUUCCAAGGGGACGCUUGGGGAGUGGACGUAGGUGGUUAGGAGAACACCGAACCACUAUACUUCUGGUGUGUU